GCCUGGAUAGCUCAGUUGGUUAGAGCUUGGUGCUGAUAACACCAGGGUUGCAGGUUUGAUUCCCAUAUGGGACA
RNAcentral lists this transfer RNA (74 nucleotides) under Podarcis lilfordi (Lilford's wall lizard). RNAcentral's name for it is "tRNA.Ile". The stretch from base 8 to 66 matches the Rfam family "tRNA", at positions 8 to 63 of the family's 71-position model. Rfam says of the family: Transfer RNA (tRNA) molecules are approximately 80 nucleotides in length. Their secondary structure includes four short double-helical elements and three loops (D, anti-codon, and T loops). Lineage: Eukaryota; Metazoa; Chordata; Lepidosauria; Squamata; Lacertidae. The record is from RNAcentral.